RNAcentral lists this RNase P RNA (298 nucleotides) under human gut metagenome. Its description in RNAcentral is "Bacterial RNase P class A". It matches the Rfam family "Bacterial RNase P class A", at positions 35 to 354 of the family's 367-position model. From Rfam's summary of the family: Ribonuclease P (RNase P) is a ubiquitous endoribonuclease, found in archaea, bacteria and eukarya as well as chloroplasts and mitochondria. Its best characterised activity is the generation of mature 5'-ends of tRNAs by cleaving the 5'-leader elements of precursor-tRNAs. Cellular RNase Ps are ribonucleoproteins. The record is from RNAcentral.
UUAAAAAUGAGGAAAGUCCGAGCAUCAAGAGAACUGGGUGCUGGUUAACGGCCAGCGGAGGCGACUCUAGGGAAAGUGCAACAGAAAUAAACCGCCUAAUUUUUAGGUAAGGAUGGAAAGGUAGUGUAAGAGACUACCGCUCAAUUAGGGAUAGUUGAGGCUCUGUAAACCCCACCUGAUGCAAGGUCUAAAGAGCAAUAGUGCUUGUUCUCUCACGCUCUUGAGAACCGCUUGAACCUAUUGGCAACAAUGGGACUAGAUAGAUGAUUGUCAAAUACAGAACUCGGCUUAUAGCAUA